Molecule: ribosomal RNA, 840 nt
Filed under: Oceanobacillus sp. MAC17179
Lineage: Bacteria; Bacillati; Bacillota; Bacilli; Caryophanales; Bacillaceae
Description: bacterial SSU rRNA
Rfam family: Bacterial small subunit ribosomal RNA
Source: RNAcentral
CGUAAUACGUAGGUGGCAAGCGUUGUCCGGAAUUAUUGGGCGUAAAGCGCUCGCAGGCGGUCUUUUAAGUCUGAUGUGAAAGCCCACGGCUUAACCGUGGAGGGUCAUUGGAAACUGGAGGACUUGAGUACAGAAGAGGAGAGUGGAAUUCCACGUGUAGCGGUGAAAUGCGUAGAGAUGUGGAGGAACACCAGUGGCGAAGGCGACUCUCUGGUCUGUAACUGACGCUGAGGAGCGAAAGCGUGGGUAGCGAACAGGAUUAGAUACCCUGGUAGUCCACGCCGUAAACGAUGAGUGCUAGGUGUUAGGGGGUUUCCGCCCCUUAGUGCUGAAGUUAACGCAUUAAGCACUCCGCCUGGGGAGUACGGCCGCAAGGCUGAAACUCAAAAGAAUUGACGGGGGCCCGCACAAGCGGUGGAGCAUGUGGUUUAAUUCGAAGCAACGCGAAGAACCUUACCAGGUCUUGACAUCCUCUGAUACCUCUAGAGAUAGAGUUUUCCCUUCGGGGACAGAGUGACAGGUGGUGCAUGGUUGUCGUCAGCUCGUGUCGUGAGAUGUUGGGUUAAGUCCCGCAACGAGCGCAACCCUUGAUCUUAGUUGCCAGCAUUCAGUUGGGCACUCUAAGGUGACUGCCGGUGACAAACCGGAGGAAGGUGGGGAUGACGUCAAAUCAUCAUGCCCCUUAUGACCUGGGCUACACACGUGCUACAAUGGAUGGAACAAAGGGAAGCGAACCCGUGAGGUCAAGCCAAUCCCAUAAAACCAUUCUCAGUUCGGAUUGUAGGCUGCAACUCGCCUACAUGAAGCCGGAAUCGCUAGUAAUCGCGGAUCAGCUGCCGC